This is a long non-coding RNA of Thalassophryne amazonica, 193 nucleotides long. RefSeq lists it as uncharacterized. The transcript has 5 exons. NCBI's taxonomy places the organism in Eukaryota, Metazoa, Chordata, Actinopteri, Batrachoidiformes, Batrachoididae. The record is from RefSeq and is a predicted model, not a curated record.
AAGCCUUCAGUUGAAUGUGAUCAGGAGGAUUUGGGCGGUAUGGUCUAGUGGUUCAAGCAUUUGGCUUGAGACCAGAGGAUCCUCGGUUCAAAUCCCAGCCUGAUGGGAAAAUCACUAAGGGCCCUUGGGUAAGGUCCUUAAUCCCCUAGGUGCUCCUGGUAUGUAGUGAGUACCUUGUAUGGCAGCACCCUCA